RNAcentral lists this ribosomal RNA (167 nucleotides) under Diogenes spinifrons. RNAcentral's name for it is "partial 16S rRNA". Lineage: Eukaryota; Metazoa; Arthropoda; Malacostraca; Decapoda; Diogenidae. The record is from RNAcentral.
UCUUUACAUUAAUAUAUAAUAAUUAUUUAAUUUAUUUAAGUUUAAAAGAAAAUAUUAAUUUAAUGUUAUGUUGGGGCGACAGAUAUAAAGUAAAUUUAACUGUUUAAUUUUCUCUAACAAAUUAUUAUUGAUUUAAAGAUCCUUCUUAAAGAUUAAAAGAUUAAGUU